Non-coding RNA from Acanthosepion pharaonis, 108 nucleotides. The record is from the annotation of a GenBank genome assembly. Lineage: Eukaryota; Metazoa; Mollusca; Cephalopoda; Sepiida; Sepiidae.
CAUAUCAUAUUGAAACACUGGUUCUCGUAUGAUUACCAAAGUUAAGCAACGCUAAGGCUUGAUCAGUACCUAGGUAGGUGACCACUUGGGAAUACCAGGUGUUGUAAG